CUAAAAACCUAGCCCAACAAACAUGAAUUUUACUAAAUUAACUAAAACCUCUUAACAAACCAUUUUAACAUUCUAGUAAAGGAGAUUGAAAAAACUUAUUUGGAGCUAUAAAAACAGUACCGCAAGGGAACGGUGAAAUAUUAUGAAAAACUUCAAGCAGCAAAAAGUAAAGAUUACCUCUUGUACCUUUCGCAUCAUGGUUUAACUAGUCUAACCAAGCAAAACGUAUUUAAGUUUGACUUCCCGAAACUAAGUGAGCUACUUCAGGGCAGCUAGAAGAGCAAACCCGUCUCUGUAGCAAAAGAGUGGGACGACCCUCAAGUAGUGGUGACAGACCUAACGAACUUAGUGAUAGCUGGUUGCUCAAGAAACGGAUUUAAGUCCAACCUGAAAGUUUUAUAACCUAAGUUCAUCAAAACAAUCACCUAGCUUUCAGCGUAAUUCAAAUAAGGUACAGCCUAUUUGAAACAGGAUACAACCUAGCCUAAUGGAUAAGAUCAGCCUAACAUACAAUCAAGUGGGCCUAAAAGCAGCCACCUUUAAUACAGCGUCAAAGCUAAAUUGUAACCGAGCCCAAUUACUUAACCCAUAUCUUAAUCCCCUGCCAAUACUGAGUAAUUCUAUAAUAUUAUAGAAAUUUUUAUGUUAAAACUAGUAACAAGAAGAAGACUCUUCUCUUAAAUGUACGUAUAAAUCAGAAAAGACAAGCUACUGAUACUUAACACCUCUGAGCAUAAAGUAGUAACUAACCAAGAAAACUCUACUUUUACUGGUGUUAAUCUAACACAAGAACAUUCUAAGAAAGAU
This 807-nucleotide ribosomal RNA is filed under the name Bufo bufo (common toad). Its description in RNAcentral is "partial 16S ribosomal RNA". The stretch from base 165 to 807 matches the Rfam family "Bacterial large subunit ribosomal RNA", at positions 568 to 1680 of the family's 2925-position model. Lineage: Eukaryota; Metazoa; Chordata; Amphibia; Anura; Bufonidae. The record is from RNAcentral.